AAUUUGAAGUCAAAACCGUAGACAGCGGGUGCGAAAGCUUAAUUUCCCGCCGAGGUACAAUAUAAAGAAUAUUGACCUCGUCUUUAAUCUAUGAUGUAUUUAGAAUUUAAGGUGAGGUUUUUCCUU
Molecule: small RNA, 126 nt
Rfam family: Ribosomal protein L10 leader
About the family: This family is a putative r-protein leader autoregulatory structure found in B. subtilis and other low-GC Gram-positive bacteria.